AGUGAACGCUGGCGGUAGGCCUAACACAUGCAAGUCGAACGGCAGCACAGUAAGAGCUUGCUCUUACGGGUGGCGAGUGGCGGACGGGUGAGGAAUACAUCGGAAUCUACUUUUUCGUGGGGGAUAACGUAGGGAAACUUCCGCUAAUACCGCAUACGACCUACGGGUGAAAGCAGGGGAUCUUCGGACCUUUCGCGAUUGAAUGAGCCGAUGUCGGAUUAGCUAGUUGGCGGGGUAAAGGCCCACCAAGGCGACGAUCCGUAGCCGGUCUGAGAGGAUGAUCAGCCACACUGGAACUGAGACACGGUCCAGACUCCUACGGGAGGCAGCAGUGGGGAAUAUUGGACAAUGGGCGCAAGCCUGAUCCAGCCAUACCGCGUGGGUGGAGAAGGCCUUCGGGUUGUAAAGCCCUGUUGUUGGGAAAGAAAAGCAGCAGGUUAAUACCCCGCUGUUCUGACGGUACCCAAAGAAUAAGCACCGGCUAACUUCGUG
RNAcentral lists this ribosomal RNA (492 nucleotides) under uncultured bacterium. RNAcentral's name for it is "partial 16S ribosomal RNA". It matches the Rfam family "Bacterial small subunit ribosomal RNA", at positions 29 to 507 of the family's 1533-position model. The record is from RNAcentral.